AGGACGAACGCUGGCGGCGUGCCUAACACAUGCAAGUCGAACGGAGCGAAAGAAGCUUGCUUCUGGCGCUUAGUGGCGGACGGGUGAGUAACACGUGAGCAACCUGCCUUUCAGAGGGGAAUAAUGUCUGGAAACGGACACUAAUACCACAUGACAUACAUUUGCCGCAUGACAGAUGUAUCAAAGGAGCAAUCCGCUGAAAGAUGGGCUCGCGUCUGAUUAGCCAGUUGGCGGGGUAACGGCCCACCAAAGCGACGAUCAGUAGCCGGACUGAGAGGUUGAACGGCCACAUUGGGACUGAGACACGGCCCAGACUCCUACGGGAGGCAGCAGUGGGGAAUAUUGCACAAUGGGCGCAAGCCUGAUGCCAGCAACGCCGCGUGAGGGAAGACGGUUUUCGGAUUGUAACCUCUGUUCUUAGUGACGAAGAAGUGACGGUAGCUAAGGAGCAAGCCACGGCUAACUACGUGCCAGCCGCAGC
Molecule: ribosomal RNA, 481 nt
Filed under: uncultured bacterium
Lineage: Bacteria
Description: bacterial SSU rRNA
Rfam family: Bacterial small subunit ribosomal RNA
Source: RNAcentral